UGGGGAAUAUUGGACAAUGGGCGCAAGCCUGAUCCAGCCAUACCGCGUGGGUGAAGAAGGCCUUCGGGUUGUAAAGCCCUUUUGUUGGGAAAGAAAUCCUUCAGGCUAAUACCCUGAGGGGAUGACGGUACCCAAAGAAUAAGCACCGGCUAACUUCGUGCCAGCAGCCGCGGUAAUACGAAGGGUGCAAGCGUUACUCGGAAUUACUGGGCGUAAAGCGUGCGUAGGUGGUUGCUUAAGUCUGCUGUGAAAGCCCUGGGCUCAACCUGGGAAUUGCAGUGGAUACUGGGCGACUAGAGUAAGGUAGAGGAUAGUGGAAUUUCCGGUGUAGCAGUGAAAUGCGUAGAGAUCGGAAGGAACAUCUGUGGCGAAGGCGACUAUCUGGGCCAUUACUGACACUGAGGCACGAAAGCGUGGGGAGCAAACAGG
This 429-nucleotide ribosomal RNA is filed under the name uncultured prokaryote. Its description in RNAcentral is "bacterial SSU rRNA". It matches the Rfam family "Bacterial small subunit ribosomal RNA", at positions 355 to 776 of the family's 1533-position model. RNAcentral also lists the same sequence under 1 other name. The record is from RNAcentral.